Loxodonta africana (African savanna elephant) is the source of this 12114-nucleotide RNA transcript. It is a transcript of the gene named RAS p21 protein activator 1, with no coding region annotated. Lineage: Eukaryota; Metazoa; Chordata; Mammalia; Proboscidea; Elephantidae. The record is from RefSeq and is a predicted model, not a curated record. The transcript has 26 exons.
CAAGACUGCUGUUGAGGGACCCGGGAAGCGGCCUCCAGGAAAGAAGUGGGGAGUAAAAGUGGGGAAACGUAUGGUGUUCUUUCACCUGUGAUUUGUUCUGGAAAAAGUUUUUAAGUUUCAGGCUCCAUGUGCGGGGAUUUAAUAUAAUCACCCAUCUUCCUUACAGGUAUAUCAUAUCUCCUGGCGCCUUCGUAUAUUUAUUGCUCCUCUGGGAAGAUGGAAAGUUUUUAAGAUGGGAAGCAUGGAAAAAUAUGUAUUCAUUGAGAACCGGAUAUGGUUCUGCUCCUUCUAAAUUGAGGUGGUGUCCCAGGAUUCAGCUGAGUUUGCAGCUACCAAGGCAGUCAUUGACUAUGUUAACCUGUGUGUGUGUUCCCAGAAGCUUUGAAUACGAGCAUUUGAGUAUUGGGUUAACAUCAUUCGAGAAUGCAUUGGUCGGAAGGCUUUGUUUUUGUUGAACUGCAAAUCCCAAUUUUUGUCUGCUGAAAACACAGUGAUAUAGAAAAGUCUCUGGAUCUUUUAGGCGGUCAGAGAGAAUUAGGGAAGCAGUUCUGUGAAUUCCAGGUGUGAUUAAGGGUUUCAUACUCCAACGAUGUCUGUAACUUGUUUCAUAGAGUAUAUGUCACUACCAGUGUAAUUCCUUUGUAGUUGAGAUUCUGUAAGUACAAUACUGAAGCAAAACAAAAUUAAUAGUGCUUCUUAUCAGCACUUUUUGUUGGUGGCCAAUACAAUAUCCUGUUUGAAAAUUAAUUUUAACAGUUUGCUGUAGAAUAUAUAUGACAGAUUUUUUUUUUUUUAUUGUUAGUACCUUCCCUUUGUUAUUUUCAUAAGUGGACUUUGGUAUGUGUUUAAAAAGGUGGACCUUGAUGAGACCAAGAUGUUGAGAUGGGAAAUGGUAAUAGUUGACAAAACUUGUUUUGUAGACUCCCCACAUCAGUUUAAUUGACAGAAUUUCAGAAUAUUUGAUGAUUAUCCCAGGAAAAAAGAUUUGGUUCAUAUGAUGACAGUCACUGGACAAUCAAAAGCCUUCAUCAGAGAAUUUAGAAAGAAGAAAAAAAAAAAAACCAAAAAAGAAAUUAGCAAGAGAUAUUGUAAUACCAAUCUAUUUUUGACUUAAGGCAUUAUCUUUUGAUAUUUAAGGUGGAAAAGUAAAUUAGUCUUAUUUAUGCCAGUUACGGUAUAAGAAUGUUGAAUAUUCCUUUUAUACUAUUCCAUAGAGUUCAGUUUUUUUGUGUAAUUUUAUUCUGGCUUAUGUCUGUGCAUUGCAGAUAUUUUUGGAGGGGGUUAUGGCUUUAUUAAAAAUUCCAAUUUUACCCUGAGGGACCAGAUUACUGGGCUGAGGACUGUGGGGACCAUGAUCUCCAGGAACAUCUAGCUCAAUUGGCAUAACAUAGUUUACAAAGAAAAUGUACUACAUUCUACUUUGGUGAGUAGCGUCUGGGGUCUUAAAAGCUUAUGAGCGGCCAUCUAAGAUGCUAGAUUGAUCUCAUCCCAUCUGGAGCAAGGGAGAAUGAAGAAAACCAAAGACGCAAGGGAAAGAUUAGUCCAAAGAACUGGUAGACUACAACUACCAUAACCUCCACCAGACUGAGUCCAGUACAACUAGAUGGUGCCCAGCUACCACCACUGACUGCUCUUACGGGGAGCACAAGAGAGGAUCCUGAACAGAGCUGGAGAACAAUGUAGGAUAAAAUUCAAACUCACAAAACAAAACAAAACAAAACAAAAAACCAGACUUACUGGUCUGACAGAGACUGGAGAAACCCUGAGAAUAUGGCUCCCGGACACCGUUGUAAUUCAGUACUGAAGUCACUCCUGAGGUUCAUCCUUCAGCCAAAGGUUAGACUGGACCGUAAAACAAAAUGAGACUAAGUGGGCACACCAGCCCAGGGGCAGGGACAAGGCAGGAGGGGACAGGAAAGCUGGUAAUGAGGAACCCAAGGUCUAGAAGGGGAGAGUGUUGAGAUGUUGUGAGUUUGGCAACCAGUGUCACAAAACAAUACGUGUAUUAAUUGUUUAAUGAGAAGCUAGUUUGCUCUGUAAACCUGUCUAAAGUACAAUGAAAAAAAGAAAAUACAAAACUCAAUUGUAUUUCUGUAUAAGCAGUAAACAAUAGAAAACUGAAAUUUAAAAGAUAAUACUAGUUACAAUAGCAUCAAAAAACAUAAGAUUCCCAGGAAUAAAUCUAAGCAAAUGAGGUACAAGACCUCUAUGUUGAAAACUACUAAACAUUACUAAGAGAAAUUAAAGACCUAAAUGAAUAUGGAGAUAUGUCAUAUUUAUGGAUUGGAAGACUCAGUAUUGUUAAAAUGUCAGUUUUCCCCAAACUAAUCUCUAGAUUCAAAAGACCCCCAACUGUGUAGGCAGAAUAAUGGCCCCUGAAAGAUGCUCUGAACCUAAAAUCCUUGAAACCUGUGAGUGUAUUUUGCCACAGUCUAAGAGGGAAUUAAAGUUGCAGGUGGAUUAAGAUUGCUAAUCAGACGACCUUAAAAUAGGAAGAUUAUCCUUAAUUAUCCAGUGUAAUCACAAGAAUUCUUAAAAGAUGGAAAUGGGGACAAAAGAGUCAGUGUCAGAGUGAUGUGAUGUGGGAAAUUCUCAACCAAUCAUUGCUUACUUGAAAAUGGAGGCCCAUAGCCAAGUAAAAGGCAAUAAAAUAGAUUUUCCUCUACAAUCUCCAGAAACGAAUGCAGCCCUACUGACACCUUUGUUUUAGCCCAGUGAUGCCUGUUGUGGACUUUUGACCUCCAAAACUGUCAAAUAAUAAAUUUGUGUUUUAAGUCAUAAAAAAAAAUUCUGGUCUUACAGCACUACUUGCACAUCAUCAGGCCUUUUUGAAAAAAAUCAGUUAAGUAUUAAGUACCUAGUAUGUGCUCAAGACUGUGGUUGUAAUAAACCAUGUAACUUUUCAUACCAAAGAAAUCUAGCUUUAUGCCUAUUCUGCAACUUAAUUGAAGUAGGCAUAUUUAGGCCAUUGUAGUUCUAAAUUAUUUUUAAUAAGCAUGAAUGAGUACUUAGGAAAAAUUGUGAGAAAUCCAUUGUAUGAGAUUUUCAUCAUUAUGUAUUUAGAAUAAAAUAAUAUUUGUAUAACUGUAUAUAUGACAUUUUUUCAUAUUCUCAAAGAUAUCCUCCAUUUCUAGUAUUUUUUUAAAAUUUGCCAUUAAGAAGUACAAAUUUCCCUCUUUUUUUUUUUUAAUCUUAGCUAUCAGCUGAAAUUCACUGGAGGCAAUACAGUGUAGUGGUUAAGCCUGCAAAUUCUGAAAUUAGUCAAGGUUUGCGUUGGAACCCUGAGUCUGCCACUUAUUAGCAUGUGACUUUAAAAAGGUGGUAUCAUGGAAAACUUGAUAGAACUAUAGCAGAAGAACGCCUCAGGCAGGCAGGGAAGCCUGGCAGUUACCUUAUAAGAGAGAGUGAUCGGAGGCCAGGGUCCUUUGUACUUUCAUUUCUUAGCCAAACAAAUGUCGUCAACCAUUUUAGGAUUAUUGCCAUGUGUGGAGAUUACUACAUUGGUGGAAGACGCUUUUCUUCACUGUCAGACCUAAUAGGUUAUUAUAGUCAUGUUUCUUGUUUACUUAAAGGAGAAAAAUUACUUUAUCCAGUUGCACCACCAGAGGCAAUAGAAGAUAGAAGGCGUGUGCGAGCCAUUCUACCUUACACAAAAGUACCAGACACUGAUGAAAUAAGCUUCUUAAAAGGUGAUAUGUUUAUCGUCCAUAAUGAAUUAGAAGAUGGAUGGAUGUGGGUUACAAAUCUAAGAACAGAUGAACAAGGCCUUAUUGUUGAAGACCUAGUAGAAGAAGUGGGCCGGGAAGAAGAUCCACAUGAAGGCAAAAUAUGGUUCCAUGGGAAGAUUUCCAAACAAGAAGCUUAUAAUUUACUAAUGACAGUUGGCCAGGUCUGCAGUUUUCUUGUGAGGCCUUCAGAUAAUACUCCUGGUGACUAUUCGCUUUAUUUUCGGACCAAUGAAAAUAUUCAGCGAUUUAAAAUAUGUCCAACACCAAACAAUCAGUUUAUGAUGGGAGGCCGAUAUUAUAACAGCAUUGGGGACAUCAUAGAUCACUAUCGAAAAGAACAGAUUGUUGAAGGAUAUUAUCUUAAGGAACCUGUGCCAAUGCAGGAUCAAGAACAAGUACUCAGUGAUGCAGUAGAUGGCAAGGAAAUCUAUAAUACAAUUCGUCGUAAAACAAAGGAUGCCUUUUAUAAAAAUAUUGUUAAAAAAGGUUAUCUUCUAAAAAAGGGCAAAGGAAAACGGUGGAAAAAUUUAUAUUUUAUCUUAGAGGGCAGUGAUGCCCAACUUAUUUAUUUUGAAAGUGAAAAACGAGCUACAAAACCAAAAGGAUUAAUAGAUCUCAGUGUAUGUUCUGUCUAUGUUGUUCACGAUAGUCUUUUUGGCAGGCCAAACUGUUUUCAGAUAGUAGUUCAGCACUUUAGUGAAGAACAUUACAUCUUUUACUUUGCAGGAGAAACUCCAGAACAAGCAGAGGACUGGAUGAAAGGUCUGCAGGCAUUUUGUAAUUUACGGAAAAGUAGUCCAGGGACAUCUAAUAAACGCCUGCGUCAGGUCAGCAGUCUUGUUUUACACAUUGAAGAAGCACAUAAACUCCCAGUAAAACAUUUUACUAACCCAUAUUGUAACAUCUACCUGAAUAGCGUCCAGGUAGCAAAAACUCAUGCAAGAGAAGGGCAAAACCCUGUUUGGUCAGAAGAGUUUGUCUUUGAUGAUCUUCCUCCUGACAUCAACAGAUUUGAAAUAACUCUUAGUAAUAAAACAAAGAAAAGCAAGGAUCCUGAUAUCCUAUUUAUGCGUUGCCAGUUGAGUCGAUUACAGAAAGGGCAUGCCACAGAUGAAUGGUUUCUGCUCAGCUCCCACAUACCGUUAAAAGGUAUUGAACCAGGAUCCUUGCGUGUCCGAGCACGAUAUUCUAUGGAAAAAAUCAUGCCAGAAGAAGAGUACAGUGAAUUUAAAGAGCUUAUACUGCAAAAGGAACUUCAUGUAGUAUAUGCUUUAUCACAUGUAUGUGGACAAGACCGAACACUACUGGCUAGCAUCCUACUGAGGAUUUUUCUUCAUGAAAAGCUUGAAUCAUUGUUGCUGUGUACACUAAAUGACAGAGAAAUAAGCAUGGAAGAUGAAGCUACUACCCUAUUUCGAGCCACAACACUUGCAAGCACCUUGAUGGAGCAGUAUAUGAAAGCCACUGCUACACAGUUUGUUCAUCAUGCUUUGAAAGACUCUAUUUUAAAAAUAAUGGAAAGCAAGCAGUCUUGUGAGUUAAGUCCAUCAAAGUUAGAAAAAAAUGAAGAUGUGAACACUAAUUUAGCACACCUAUUGAACAUACUUUCAGAGCUUGUGGAGAAAAUAUUCAUGGCUUCAGAAAUACUUCCACCGACACUGAGAUAUAUUUAUGGGUGUUUACAAAAAUCUGUUCAGCACAAGUGGCCUACAAAUACCACCAUGAGAACCAGAGUUGUUAGUGGUUUUGUUUUUCUUCGACUUAUCUGUCCUGCUAUCCUGAAUCCACGGAUGUUUAAUAUCAUCUCAGAUUCCCCAUCACCUAUUGCUGCAAGAACACUGAUAUUAGUGGCUAAGUCCGUGCAGAAUUUAGCAAAUCUUGUGGAGUUCGGAGCUAAGGAACCCUAUAUGGAAGGAGUAAAUCCAUUCAUCAAAAAUAACAAACAUCGUAUGAUCAUGUUUUUGGAUGAACUUGGGAAUGUACCUGAACUUCCGGACACUACAGAUCAUUCUAGAACUGACCUGUCCCGUGAUUUAGCAGCGUUGCAUGAGAUUUGUGUGGCCCAUUCAGAUGAACUGAGAACACUCAGUAAUGAGCGUGGUGCACAGCAGUGCAUGGCCAUAGUGAUUGGGAAGUUUGAUAAAAAUAUAUAUUCCAAGCCCUACACCCACAGAUUCUGGAGUGCAGCCUUGGAAUCUACAUUUCUAACAAGCUCCUCUAGGGAUUCAGAUGCAAGUGAAUCAUGGCCCACGCAUUGAGAAACCCUGACUACAUUAGUAGACUUUUGCUAUCUAGAACAAGGGAUACAGACUGGAAUAUAUUCAAAGAAGAGGGACCAGGAUUUGAAGGGACUUAAAACCAGCAUGUACUGAAAAAGCUUCUGGCAAUAACGGAACUACUUCAACAAAAACAAAACCAGUAUACAAAAACCAAUGAUGUCAGGUAGCAGCCUUCACCUUAGUGUUCUGCAUGGACUCAGCAUGCCCAACAUGGUAACUCACAUCAGUAUAAUGUCUCCUUUGCUCUUGCCAAAAAACAGCACAUUUUCCACAUUCCCAGUGAUGUGUGAACUAUGCAAACAAAACUGCAGAUUCUGCUGGUGAAUAACUGUGCCAGCAGCUUUGUAAGCUAUCUGUGCAGGAUAUUUGCACUUUUUCCACAUGGAAUCAAUCUUUACCAACGUCUGAGCCUUGGUGUACAGAUAACCUUUCACAACACAAAAUGAUAUGACUGUAUCUUGAACUUUGAAGACCUAUUUUCAAUACAUCCAAUUGCCAAAGUUUGCUGUCUCUUGGAAAAAGAAGUAUGAAAUCAACUGACAAGAAAAAACAUUCUCUUUUGACAAUUGACUAUAACUGGAUUAUAGACUGUUCUUACGUUAACUUCUUCCUGAUUAGGAAUAUGACCGUUUGACUGUUCAAUGACUUUAUUUGUAUUCACAGUUUCCAGAGUUUGCCGUUAUAACAGAAACAAUCUUUGCUGUAUACUUUUUUAAAAUACUGUGCGAUUUUGCUUGCUGGAACUGUUGAAAGAAGAUAUAUAGGAUGGAUCUAUUGCUUUAUUUUUUAAACAUACCACUUUAUUUUGUUGGGAUUGUCAGAGACUAUCUAGAUCUCAUAAUGCUUUUGUUAAAUGUUUACAACAGUAAAUACUUUGAAUUCAGUAAAUACUAUUGAUCAUUGUACUGAUCAAUGCAUGUACCCAUUCAACCAUUUUAUAGAUUACCAAUUUCUAUGUAAAACAAACAUACAAAAAACUAGAAUGCUUUUAUUCAAAGUAUUCAUUCAUUAAUUCCAAGUUGGUUUUUUGUACCCCUUUGAUUAUGUAAACAACUUCACCAGCCACUUACAGCUUCCCCAUCUUUAAACUUCUGACUACUUGUAUCUGCUGGAUAUUUAGUUUGUAUAGUUUUAUUUGCUUCUGUAUGUGUAUUUUUGUGUAAUAUUCACAAGGGUUAAGUUAAAAUAAAACCAAGGGAUAUCUUGCAUAGUUAAUUACUUCCGUCUACAUAUAGCUAAGCAUUUACUCUUAUUAUUUCUUACCUUCUUUAGGGGCAGUUCAGACUUUAGCACCAGAGCAAAGCUCAGGUUAAUACAUGAAACUUCAGAUCAGUGUUUUUGCUAAUAGGUCAUUUUUGAAAAAGAUUCCAUUUACUUGUUCAAUAUAUAUUUGUUAACUCAUUCCCUCCCAUAAUUGUGCAGGGGAGACAAGGCAUACAAAAGUAUAUGGCAGAAUAUCAUUAGUAAUCAAAGUGGGUAAGACAGGAACAAAGGGGGGAGCAUUAGGAAAAGCGUUUCCCACUGUAAUGAAGUAUUUUCUAAAGACCUACAUUCCAAGCAAGAACAGUGCAUUUUCUGGUCCUCUGGUGUGUAAAAUGCAGGAAAAAACACAAAGUGUUAACUAGUCAAGAGGUUUAAAAGAUUUUUGUUUAAUAUAGUUUUAUGCUAUAAAAGGCAGUUAUUUCGAUUGAGGGAGCUAGCCCUGAUAUAGCUUCAACUGUGACAGUUCAAUAGUGAUACCUAAACUCAAAACACAUCUAUGGCUGCACUCCCAUGACGUCAAUUCAUUUCAUUCUCCCCCUUCUCAUCUCUAUAUCGUAUUAUUUUCUCUUCCUCUUUUCCAACACUCCUGCUUUUCAACUGAACUACCACACUCGUAUCCUAAUUGGUUUCCUUCCCUAAUGUUAUAGGAGAGAGAACGGAUGGGAUGGGAUACAGACUACUGCCAUUUCCUAAAAUGUCAACAGUAUGCAAAACGGUCUGAUCACUGUUGUUAGGUGCUGUCAGGUCGGUUCCGACUCACAGCGACCUGAUGCACAACAGAACGAAACACUGCCUGGUCCUGAGCCAUUCUCACGAUCAUUGGUGUGCUUGAGCUCAUUGUUGCAGCCACUGGGUCAGUCCAUCUCGUUGAGGGUCUUGCUCUUUUCUGCUGACCCUGUACUCUGCCGAGCACAAUGUCCUUCUCCAGGGACUGAUCCCUCCUGACAACAUGUCCAAAGUAUGUAAGACGCAGUCUCGCCAUCCUUCUAAGGAGCAUUCUGGUUGUACUUCUUCUAAGACAGAUUUGUUCGUUAUUUUGGCAGUCAGUGGUGUAUUCAGUAUUCCUUGCCAACACCACAAUUCAAAGGCGUCAGUUCUUCGGUCUUCCUUAUUCAUUGUCCAGCUUUCACGUGCAUACGAUGUGAUUGAAAAGACCAUGGCGUGGGUCAGGCGCACCUUAGUCUUCAAGGUGACACCUUUGCUCUUCAACAUUUUAAAGAGGUCCUCUGCAGCAGAUUUGCCCAGUGCAAUGCGUCUUUUGAUUUCUUGACUGCUGCUUCCAUGGCUGUUGAUUGUGGAUCCAAGUAAAAUGAAAUCCUUGACAACUUCAGUCUUGUCUCCGUUUAUCAUGAUGUUGCUCAUUGGUCCAGUUGUGAGGAUUUUUGUUUUAUGUUGAGGUGCAAUCCAUACUGAAGGCUGUGGUCUUUGAUUUUCAUUAGUAAGUGCUUCAAGUCCUUUUCACUUUCAGCAAGCAAGGUUGUGUCAUCUGCAUAAUGCAGGUUGUUAAUGAGUCUUCCUCCAAUCCUGAUGCCCAUUCUUCUUCAUGUAGUGCAGCUUCUCGUAUUAUUUGCUCCACAUACAGACUGAAUAGGUAUGGUGAAAGAGUACAACCCUGAUGUACACCUUUCCUGACUUUAAGCCAAUCAGUAUCCCCUUGUUCUGUCCAAACAACUGCCUCUUGAUCUAUGUAAAGGUUCCUCAUGAGCACGAUUAAGUGUUCGGGAAUUCCCAUUCUUCGCAGUGUUAUCCGUAAUUUGUUAUGAUCCACACAGUCGAAUGCCUUUGCAUAGUCAAUAAAACACAGGUAAACAUCCUUCUGGUAUUCUCUGCUUUCAGCCAGGAUCCAUCUAACAUCAGCAAUGAUAUCCCUGAUUCCAGGUCCUCUUCUGAAACCGGCCUGAAUUUCUGGCAGUUCCCUGUCAAUAUACUGCUGCAGCUGUUUUUGAAUGAUCUUCAGCAAACUCUAGUGCUAGGCAAUUUUUCUCUCCCACUAAUCACAUCCCAUCCUCCAGCCAUUCUGACUUACCUGCUACCCCAUGAUCUUGCCUAAAAUAUUAAUACAGUCUCAGCUCAAACUGUCCUCACCAUCUAAAUGUUGCUGCUUCCCCUUGUACCUUUUAUAAGAAAAUACAAACCUGAAAGACUUACCCUGCUUUUUACAUUUUAAUCACGUUUGUCUCUUAAACUGGAACGGAAACUUGACACUUGGCGUCGUAGGCCCUAUAGUAACUAGCUGGUCAGUGUUGAAAUAAAACCUUGCACAAACACUAUAAUUUUUUUAAUGGGGCAGGGUGGGAAAUUUUUCAGAGAUAAAUGUGGAUCUUGUUCUGGAACCAAUGUUUGAUGAUCUGAAAGGGCAACAGGAGAUAAACUGUGAAUGUUCUGCAACUCUGUUUAGGGCCUAGCAACAGUGCUACUUACGGUGGACUACAUCAGAAUUAUGAACUUCAGCUUCUCUCACUCCACUUUUGAGAAAUCCCACUUCAUGUAAUUUUAUUCCUCUCAUCUCAGAGUGAAAAGGAAAAAGAAAACCAAAAGACCUCAAGCAUAGAAUGUAAAAGGUUGUUAAAAGCAUAUGCAGAGAGUAAACACAGCCCUCAUAUACUAAGGUCUUAUUAAAAUGGUACCUACACUUAUGGAAAGUGCAGCCUGAGAUGCUUUGGGACUGAAGAGGUGUAUAUAUCCAAGCUGAGUCUCCAUAAAAUUUAAGGGCAGUUGAGUUUCUCAGAAUUCUUUGAACUCAGUUCCCCCCCGCACCCCCUCCCCCCAAAAUUAGUCUAAUAUAACGUCAUCCACAGUUUGGUUCCAAUUUAGAAAGUGAGUAAUAAGAUCACUAUUAAAUUGAAUAAAUGCGUAUCAUAGCUCACAUUUAUUGAGUACUUACCAUAUGCAGGGAUUAUUCUGUGAGGAGUAGGUAUUUUCUCCAUUUUCAACUUGGGAAAUGGGUACAGAGAGGUUUACUAAGUUGCCCAAGGUCACACAGUGAGGUAGAAACUGUAAUAAUUUAACACCCAAGUAAUUUGGUACAUUUUUAUAUCAACUAAUUUUAAAUGUCCUGAAGAUAUUUUUAAAAAAACACCUAGCAAUCAUAACGAUUUAUAUGGCUUUACAUACAGGUAAUCUAACAGGUUAAUUAUAAAAAUGAAUCUGCUACUGUCUGCUUUCCAAUAGCAACUUAAGAUUUUCAGCUAGACACAGCUGGCUAUUCAAAGACUGCAUAUUUCUCCUACCCAUUUGGAAAUGUUUUCAGAUAACUGAGGAAAACAAACAUUUAUUACCCAAGAUGACUAGCUUUUAGUGCCAUGUAACAGCUAAAGUAUGUUCUAGAGUCCAGUAGUAACACACAUAGCUAAGUAUAUCAGGAUGGCAUGAGAAACUGUCUAUAAAGGUAUCUUGAGGGCAAAAAGCAUUUCAGAAAGCUGACUUCUAAUUUUUGAUUUCUGUCCGUGCGGUUUUUCAAAAAGGAUAGGAUUACUGAUCAUGUUUUGUUUCAACUAUAGGCAAAUACACUGCAACUUAAACCUGCUACCAUAGAAAGACUCAUUUGAUCCUAGUUGUGGUAGGGGCAAGACUAUCCAAACCAUAUGCUAUUAUGGCUCCCUUCAAGGCAUUUUAUUUCACAUAAAGCUACUCUAAAAGGAACAUUUUUUAAAUUACCAGAAACUUAAAAAGUUUAAUAUAUUUUAAUGUUUUCACACUCUACUUUUAAAAUAAAGUUGUAUUUCAGAUAUGCUUCCUUCUUCUCUUGAUUAGUUAGCAUUGAAUUGUCAACUUCAAAUGGUUACAGAGAAUCUACCAGGUCAUCGUCAGUCCAUUCUUCCUAAGAAGGGGGAAAAAAUAUGGUAAGAAUAACAUUUAUACUGAAGCAUAACCAGUAUUUUUUACCUCCUUGCCUCAGUUUUAGGAAAAUGUUCUCCUUUUACUAUGCUGAUUACAGAAGGUAGAUAAACUAGGAAAAUUUGUAUUAGUUCAAUCUUACAGUAAUAUUGCUAUUAUUCUACCAUCCUACUCCAAUGAGGAACAAAGGUUACAGCUGUAAUCUGGCUCCUCCUGAUUAUUUCUCUCUUAACUCAGCAGAUACAAUUAACAAAAACAAAAAAAUGUGGGUGGGACAAAUACUUGGAAAGUUGGAAGUAGAGCAUGUAGGAGUAUUCCUGCUGCCUUCUACGAACACUGGAAAGGAUUCUUCAUCAAGUAGAAGGCAGUGUACGUAAAGAAGGGUGCGAGAGAUGAAGGCUUAAAAAAGCCAUGUUGUUGUUACCAUUGAGUCAGUUCUGACUCAAUGACAAUCCAGUGUGCAGAGUAGAACUGCAGUUCAUUGUUUUCAAGGCUGUGACCUUUCAGAGGCCUUACUUCUGAGGUGUCUCUGAGUUUGAACUGCCAACGUAUCAGUAUUCUAGCGCUUGACCAUUUGCGCCACCCAGGAACUCCUUAAAAAACCUCUACCUCUACGUAUGUACUCUGGAACAAUGAACCUUAACAGUAUGGUUACAUCAUAAUGCGCAACCAAAAUAAAAAUUCAGCUUUGCAGUAAACAUACCUCCUCAUGUUUGGAUUUCUUUGAGACAUAAUCAUCAUCUUCAUAGCCUUUUCUCUUCUUCCUGUAAUCAUGCAACCAUCAAUAAUCAAUCCAAUAUUGGCAAUAAAAAGUAUAAAAUAUCUAGUAGUAAACUAAGAAGGCUACGUGAGAAAUUAUCUGUUGAAGGACAAAGACUAUGUAAUGGAAAAAGAUGCAGUUUAUGGAUAGGAAAUUUAGUAUUCUUCAAAUCUGUAUGCCCAAUGCAAUGCUAAUUAAAAUCCCAGUGCAAAAGUAAAAAAAAAAAAAACUCAAAAAAAAAAAAAAA